AUCGCUUCUCGGCCUUUUGGCUAAGAUCAAGUGUAGAACUUUUUCUUCCAUUACUAUUGAGUGCUUCACAUGCUCUAUUGGUUGCUAUGACUAAUAUUAGUUAACACACUGCCAGCUUUAUUUUUAUUUUUGCAUAUCAGUCUUGUAACAAAAGCCAAAAAAGUGCUCCCGAUGGAAAAGGAGCAGGUUCUUUUGAAGCAAAGCUGU
Rattus norvegicus (Norway rat) is the source of this 207-nucleotide small nuclear RNA. Ensembl annotates it as U2 spliceosomal RNA. Lineage: Eukaryota; Metazoa; Chordata; Mammalia; Rodentia; Muridae. The record is from Ensembl.